RNAcentral lists this ribosomal RNA (495 nucleotides) under uncultured bacterium. Its description in RNAcentral is "bacterial SSU rRNA". It matches the Rfam family "Bacterial small subunit ribosomal RNA", at positions 899 to 1397 of the family's 1533-position model. The record is from RNAcentral.
ACUCAAAGGAAUAGACGGGGACCCGCACAAGCAGUGGAGUAUGUGGUUUAAUUCGAAGCAACGCGAAGAACCUUACCAGGUCUUGACAUCCGACUAACGAGGCAGAGAUGCGUCAGGUGCCCUUCGGGGAAAGUCGAGACAGGUGGUGCAUGGUUGUCGUCAGCUCGUGUCGUGAGAUGUUGGGUUAAGUCCCGCAACGAGCGCAACCCUUGUCAUUAGUUGCUACGCAAGAGCACUCUAAUGAGACUGCCGUUGAGAAAACGGAGGAAGGUGGGGACGACGUCAAAUCAUCAUGCCCCUUAUGACCUGGGCUACACACGUACUACAAUGGCCGUUAACAACGGGAAGCAAGGGCGCGAGCCGGAGCAAACCCCCAAAAACGGUCUCAGUUCGGAUCGCAGGCUGCAACCCGCCUGCGUGAAGUCGGAAUUGCUAGUAAUCGCGGAUCAGCAUGCCGCGGUGAAUACGUUCCCGGGUCUUGCACACACCGCCCGU